This 450-nucleotide ribosomal RNA is filed under the name uncultured bacterium. RNAcentral's name for it is "partial 16S ribosomal RNA". It matches the Rfam family "Bacterial small subunit ribosomal RNA", at positions 329 to 795 of the family's 1533-position model. The record is from RNAcentral.
UUCCAGACUCCUACGGGAGGCAGCAGUGGGGGAUAUUGCGCAAUGGGGGGAACCCUGAUGCAGCGACGCCGCGUGGGUGAAGGAGUAUUUCGGUAUGUAAAGCCCUAUCAGCAGGGAAGAAGCAAGACGGUACCUGACUAAGAAGCCCCGGCUAACUACGUGCCAGCAGCCGCGGUAAUACGUAGGGGGCGAGCGUUAUCCGGAUUCACUGGGUGUAAAGGGAGCGUAGACGGCCAAGCAAGCCAGGGGUGAAAGCCCGGGGCCCAACCCCGGGACUGCUCUUGGAACUGCGUGGCUGGAGUGCAGGAGGGGCAGGCGGAAUUCCUGGUGUAGCGGUGAAAUGCGUAGAUAUCAGGAGGAACACCGGUGGCGAAGGCGGCCUGCUGGACUGCAACUGACGUUGAGGCCCGAAAGCGUGGGGAGCAAACAGGAUUAGAUACCCCAGUACCU